CUUACUGCUUGGGAACUGAUAGUCUAGAGUGAGGGAGAGGCAGAUGGAAUUGGUGGUGUAGGGGUAAAAUCCGUAGAUAUCACCAAGAAUACCCAUUGCGAAGGCGAUCUGCUGGAACUCAACUGACGCUAAGGCGCGAAAGCGUGGGGAGCAAACAGGAUUAGAUACCCUGGUAGUCCACGCCCUAAACGAUGUACACUAGUUGUUGGGGUGCUAGUCAUCUCAGUAAUGCAGCUAACGCAUUAAGUGUACCGCCUGGGGAGUACGGUCGCAAGAUUAAAACUCAAAGGAAUAGACGGGGACCCGCACAAGCGGUGGAGCAUGUGGUUUAAUUCGAAGAUACGCGAAGAACCUUACCUGGGCUUGAUAUCCUAAGAACCUUUUAGAGAUAAGAGGGUGCUAGCUUGCUAGAACUUAGAGACAGGUGCUGCACGGCUGUCGUCAGCUCGUGUCGUGAGAUGUUGGGUUAAGUCCCGCAACGAGCGCAACCCACGUAUUUAGUUGCUAACGGUUCGGCCGAGCACUCUAAAUAGACUGCCUUCGUAAGGAGGAGGAAGGUGUGGACGACGUCAAGUCAUCAUGGCCCUUAUGCCCAGGGCGACACACGUGCUACAAUGGCAUAUACAAUGAGACGCAAUACCGCGAGGUGGAGCAAAUCUAUAAAAUAUGUCCCAGUUCGGAUUGUUCUCUGCAACUCGAGAGCAUGAAGCCGGAAUCGCUAGUAAUCGUAGAUCAGCCAUGCUACGGUGAAUACGUUCCCGGGUCUUGUACUCACCGCCCGUCACACCAUGGGAGUUGAUUUCACUCGAAGCCGGAAUACUAACA
Molecule: ribosomal RNA, 825 nt
Filed under: Campylobacter sp.
Lineage: Bacteria; Pseudomonadati; Campylobacterota; Epsilonproteobacteria; Campylobacterales; Campylobacteraceae
Description: bacterial SSU rRNA
Rfam family: Bacterial small subunit ribosomal RNA
Source: RNAcentral